CCUACGGGGGGCAGCAGUGAGGAAUAUUGGUCAAUGGGCGAGAGCCUGAACCAGCCAAGUCGCGUGAGGGAGUACUGCCCUAUGGGUUGUAAACCUCUUUUGUCGGGGAGCAAAAGCCGGACGUGUCCGGCUGUGAGAGUACCCGAAGAAAAAGCAUCGGCUAACUCCGUGCCAGCAGCCGCGGUAAUACGGAGGAUGCGAGCGUUAUUCGGAUUUAUUGGGUUAAAAGGGUGCGCAGGCGGAUUUUUAAGUCAGCGGUAAAAUCGUGGGGCUCAACCCCAUCCAGCCGUUGAAACUGGGGAUCUAGAGUGUGCGAGAGGUAUGCGGAAUGCGUGGUGUAGCGGUGAAAUGCAUAGAUAUCACGCAGAACCCCGAUUGCGAAGGCAGCAUACCGGUGCACAACUGACGCUCAGGCACGAAAGCGUGGGUAUCGAACAGGAUUAGAUACCCCAGUAGUC
Molecule: ribosomal RNA, 458 nt
Filed under: uncultured bacterium
Lineage: Bacteria
Description: partial 16S ribosomal RNA
Rfam family: Bacterial small subunit ribosomal RNA
Source: RNAcentral